UACAGAGGUCUCAAGCGUUGUUCGGAAUCACUGGGCGUAAAGGGUGCGUAGGCGGCGCGGCAAGUCAGAUGUGGAAUCCAUGGGCUCAACCCGUGAAUUGCAUCCGAUACUUCCGUGCUAGAGGGCUGGAGAGGAGUUUGGAAUUCUCGGUGUAGCAGUGAAAUGCGUAGAUAUCGAGAGGAACACCAACGGCGAAAGCAAAACUCUGGACAGCAACUGACGCUGAUGCACGAAGGCCAAGGGAGCAAACGGG
Molecule: ribosomal RNA, 253 nt
Filed under: uncultured bacterium
Lineage: Bacteria
Description: partial 16S ribosomal RNA
Rfam family: Bacterial small subunit ribosomal RNA
Source: RNAcentral